AACACCGUUCCCGUUGGAUCACUGAAGUUAAACAACGCUAAGCCUAUUCAGUAAUAAGAUGGUUGACUGCAUGGGAAUACAAAGUGCUGCAA
Non-coding RNA from Acanthosepion pharaonis, 92 nucleotides. The record is from the annotation of a GenBank genome assembly. NCBI's taxonomy places the organism in Eukaryota, Metazoa, Mollusca, Cephalopoda, Sepiida, Sepiidae.